Astatotilapia calliptera (eastern happy) is the source of this 1146-nucleotide long non-coding RNA. The record is from Ensembl. Lineage: Eukaryota; Metazoa; Chordata; Actinopteri; Cichliformes; Cichlidae.
ACAGAAUGCAGAGGCAAAAAACAAGACAAGAGGCACAGUGAAAGAACGCUUGGUCAUACUGGGACAUGGGUAACAAGGAGAGGGAGGGGGGAAGGCAGUGUGAGGUGAGAACAAUUCACACUACAAACGGCAUUAGGAGACAUUCCCAGCAGAGGGUGAAGGAAAUUGCCCAGAAUGAAGAUGGAGCAGAAGGUUAAGGUGGUGACAGUGGUCUUAAGGGAAAGGAAUGGGGAAGGGACUACACUCUGCACAAUACCUUGGCCCCAGAACAGUCAGUCAGGAGGACAGAGGUUGGACAGGACACAAGAGGUAGCACAGGGAGAUGGGUAAAAGAUGCAGGCAGGGAGAUAGACAGGGAGAAGCAAAGGGACAGAUGGAUGGAGUAUGAAGGAGGCAGCAGGAUAGCGACAGGGGAGGAAUUGUGUUUCAGGAGCUCACUGCCAGAAAUAUGUUUCCAUCAUGCAGAUAGAGGGAGAGGAACGAUAGAGGAAGAGAGAGGAGAGUAGUGGGCCAAACAUGGAGCAAUGCUUUCCAAAAAUGGCAGGGGGGUUAGUGAAGGGUUAGAGAAUCAACUAUAAAUGGUAAGACCCCUAAGGUCAUGAUUUUCCAUGGGGUUUAGCGCAUGGCAUUGUGUGCAAAACAGGGAAGGUGUGUGUAUGUGUUUGUGAGGUCAGCUACUGUGUGAUAUAUUAGGUAGUAAGUCACUUUUUUAGAACUCGCUGUAGAGGAGAAAACAGGACAAGCCUAAUCUACCUAUCGGGUUUCAUUAUUUUUUUUAAUUAUGUCAUUCAGACAAGGGCUCUUUUUUUUUUUUUACAUUAAAUGUUCCUAUAACAUAGACAGGAUGAGCCACAUUCCAACAUUGUACUGUAUCAGAUUUAACAGUAUAUUGAGUGAUAAUAUGUAGAGUCAUAGUUUAAAUCUGUACAUACAGCUUGAUGCAAUGAGUGCAACUGAUCAGUAAAAGUAUAAAUUCUAUAAUUUUACAUUGAUUUGUUUGUUUUUAAAAAGAUAUGUUGUUUAAUUAUAAAAGUUUUUAUCACAAAAUGGUUAAACAUGGUGUAAUAUUUUUUAAAGUAUGUAAAAUCUAAAUCAAAGCAAAUAAGAAAAAUAUUCGAAAUAUAGUUUUUCAACAUUGACAGCUAC